RNAcentral lists this ribosomal RNA (449 nucleotides) under uncultured bacterium. RNAcentral describes it as "partial 16S ribosomal RNA". It matches the Rfam family "Bacterial small subunit ribosomal RNA", at positions 354 to 796 of the family's 1533-position model. The record is from RNAcentral.
GUCGAGAAUCUUUCACAAUGGGGGCAACCCUGAUGGAGCGACGCCGCGUGGAGGAUAAGGUCUUCGGAUUGUACACUCCUGUCAUGCGUGAACAAGGUUGCUUGAUUAAUACCUGGGCAAAUUGAUGGUAACGCAAGAGGAAGAGACGGCUAACUCUGUGCCAGCAGCCGCGGUAAUACAGAGGUCUCAAGCGUUGUUCGGAAUCACUGGGCGUAAAGGGUGCGUAGGUGGCGUGGUAAGUCAGAUGUGAAAGCCCGGGGCUCAACCUCGGAACUGCAUCCGAUACUGCCAUGCUAGAGUACUGGAGAGGUGACUAGAAUUCUCGGUGUAGCAGUGAAAUGCGUAGAUAUCGAGAGGAAUACCAAAGGCGUAGGCAGGUCACUGGACAGUUACUGACACUGAGGCACGAAGGCCAGGGGAGCGAACGGGAUUAGAAACCCUUGUAGUCC